AGUGAACGCUGGCGGUAGGCCUAACACAUGCAAGUCGAACGGCAGCACAGUAAGAGCUUGCUCUUACGGGUGGCGAGUGGCGGACGGGUGAGGAGUACAUCGGAAUCUACUUUUUCGUGGGGGAUAACGUAGGGAAACUUACGCUAAUACCGCAUACGACCUACGGGUGAAAGCAGGGGAUCUUCGGACCUUGCGCGAUUGAAUGAGCCGAUGUCGGAUUAGCUAGUUGGCGGGGUAAAGGCCCACCAAGGCGACGAUCCGUAGCUGGUCUGAGAGGAUGAUCAGCCACACUGGAACUGAGACACGGUCCAGACUCCUACGGGAGGCAGCAGUGGGGAAUAUUGGACAAGGGGCGCAAGCCUGAUCCAGCCAUACCGCGUGGGUGAAGAAGGCCUUCGGGUUGUAAAGCCCUUUUGUUGGGAAAGAAAAGCAGCAGGUUAAUACCCCGCUGUUCUGACGGUACCAAAAGAAUAAGCACCGGCUAACUUCGU
Molecule: ribosomal RNA, 491 nt
Filed under: uncultured bacterium
Lineage: Bacteria
Description: partial 16S ribosomal RNA
Rfam family: Bacterial small subunit ribosomal RNA
Source: RNAcentral